CAGGCAACGACGGCCUUGCCUAAUACAUGCAAGUCGAGCGGACAGAUGGGAGCUUGCUCCCUGAUGUUAGCGGCGGACGGGUGAGUAACACGUGGGUAACCUGCCUGUAAGACUGGGAUAACUCCGGGAAACCGGGGCUAAUACCGGAUGGUUUGUUUGAACCGCAUGGUUCAGACAUAAAAGGUGGCUUCGGCUACCACUUACAGAUGGACCCGCGGCGCAUUAGCUAGUUGGUGAGGUAACGGCUCACCAAGGCAACGAUGCCGUAGCCGACCUGAGAGGGUGAUCGGCCACACUGGGACUGAGACACGGCCCAGACUCCUACGGGAGGCAGCAGUAGGGAAUCUUCCGCAAUGGACGAAAGUCUGACGGAGCAACGCCGCGUGAGUGAUGAAGGUUUUCGGAUCGUAAAGCUCUGUUGUUAGGGAAGAACAAGUGCCGUUCAAAUAGGGCGGCACCUUGACGGUACCUAACCAGAAAGCCACGGCUAACUACGUGCCAGCAGCCGCGGUAAUACGUAGGUGGCAAGCGUUGUCCGGAAUUAUUGGGCGUAAAGGGCUCGCAGGCGGUUUCUUAAGUCUGAUGUGAAAGCCCCCGGCUCAACCGGGGAGGGUCAUUGGAAACUGGGGAACUUGAGUGCAGAAGAGGAGAGUGGAAUUCCACGUGUAGCGGUGAAAUGCGUAGAGAUGUGGAGGAACACCAGUGGCGAAGGCGACUCUCUGGUCUGUAACUGACGCUGAGGAGCGAAAGCGUGGGGAGCGAACAGGAUUAGAUACCCUGGUAGUCCACGCCGUAAACGAUGAGUGCUAAGUGUUAGGGGGUUUCCGCCCCUUAGUGCUGCAGCUAACGCAUUAAGCACUCCGCCUGGGGAGUACGGUCGCAAGACUGAAACUCAAAGGAAUUGACGGGGGCCCGCACAAGCGGUGGAGCAUGUGGUUUAAUUCGAAGCAACGCGAAGAACCUUACCAGGUCUUGACAUCCUCUGACAAUCCUAGAGAUAGGACGUCCCCUUCGGGGGCAGAGUGACCCGGUGGUGCCUCGUUAGCUGCGCAUAAAUACGAAAAUAAAACAUUG
Molecule: ribosomal RNA, 1074 nt
Filed under: Bacillus amyloliquefaciens
Lineage: Bacteria; Bacillati; Bacillota; Bacilli; Caryophanales; Bacillaceae
Description: bacterial SSU rRNA
Rfam family: Bacterial small subunit ribosomal RNA
Source: RNAcentral